RNAcentral lists this non-coding RNA (193 nucleotides) under Paenibacillus sp. RNAcentral's name for it is "GlcN6P sequence". It matches the Rfam family "glmS glucosamine-6-phosphate activated ribozyme aptamer". From Rfam's summary of the family: This entry contains a glucosamine-6-phosphate activated ribozyme that is found in the mRNA for GlmS. GlmS is an enzyme that uses fructose-6-phosphate and glutamine to generate glucosamine-6-phosphate. The record is from RNAcentral. Lineage: Bacteria; Bacillati; Bacillota; Bacilli; Caryophanales; Paenibacillaceae. RNAcentral also lists the same sequence under 1 other name.
ACAGCAUUACAAGCGCCAGAACUUGUUCCAGUGUACGGAACCAUUGUUAUGUAAAACAAUGGACAAUGGUCAAGUUGACGAGGUGGGGGUGUUCGAAUUGUUCGGCGGGGACCUCCCGGUAAUCCACCAUACCGUAAAUCGAGAACGGAAAAGAAACAGGCGACUGUUUUUACAACGAAUCGAUAGGUGAAAC